RNAcentral lists this unclassified non-coding RNA (305 nucleotides) under Hevea brasiliensis (rubber tree). The record is from RNAcentral. Lineage: Eukaryota; Viridiplantae; Streptophyta; Magnoliopsida; Malpighiales; Euphorbiaceae.
GGUUGCAUUCCUUCUCUUCAUGCUUUUUGCUUGUCUCUUUACAUUUUUUUUCUUUGUUCUAUGAUUUUCCUUCGCGAUAAAAGUUUAAAAAUGUAUACAAUUCAUAUCUAAGACCACUAUUAUUUAUUUAUUUUGGGUUGUCAGUUUAAACAUAAAAUUGGGUUAUCUAUUUUACUAGCAAAAGAUGAGCAACAUCAGAAUGACUGGAUAAGCAAUUUAUCGCUUGUAUGAAGAUGGAGGUAGUAACCAUGGAGGAUAAGUUGAUAGAAGAUUGUUUGAGAUGGCUCAGUGGCAUUCCUUGUCAA